Molecule: ribosomal RNA, 440 nt
Filed under: uncultured bacterium
Lineage: Bacteria
Description: partial 16S ribosomal RNA
Rfam family: Bacterial small subunit ribosomal RNA
Source: RNAcentral
CCUACGGGUGGCAGCAGUGGGGGAUAUUGCACAAUGGGGGAAACCCUGAUGCAGCGACGCCGCGUGAGUGAAGAAGUAUUUCGGUAUGUAAAGCUCUAUCAGCAGGGAAGAAAAUGACAGUACCUGACCCAGAAGCCCCGGCUAAAUACGUGCCAGCAGCCGCGGUAAUAAGUAGGGGGCAGGCGUUAUCCGGAUUUACUGGGUGUAAAGGGGGCGUAGACGGGUAUGUAAGUCUGGAGUGAAAGCCAGGGGCCCAACCCCGAGACUGCAUUGGAAACUGUGUAACUGGAGUACAGGUGGGGCAGGCGGAAUUCCUGGUGUAGCGGUGAAAUGCGUAGAUAUCAGGAGGAACACCGGCGGCGAAGGCAGCCUGCUGAACUGAAACUGACGUUGAGGCUCGAAAGCGUGGGGAGCAAACAGGAUUAGAUACCCGUGUAGUC